GACGAACGCUGGCGGCGUGCCUAAUACAUGCAAGUAGAACGCUGAAGAGAGGAGCUUGCUCUUCUUGGAUGAGUUGCGAACGGGUGAGUAACGCGUAGGUAACCUGCCUUGUAGCGGGGGAUAACUAUUGGAAACGAUAGCUAAUACCGCAUAACAAUGGAUGACACAUGUCAUUUAUUUGAAAGGGGCAAUUGCUCCACUACAAGAUGGACCUGCGUUGUAUUAGCUAGUAGGUGAGGUAACGGCUCACCUAGGCGACGAUACAUAGCCGACCUGAGAGGGUGAUCGGCCACACUGGGACUGAGACACGGCCCAGACUCCUACGGGAGGCAGCAGUAGGGAAUCUUCGGCAAUGGGGGCAGCCCUGACCGAGCAACGCCGCGUGAGUGAAGAAGGUUUUCGGAUCGUAAAGCUCUGUUGUAAGUCAAGAACGAGUGUGAGAGUGGAAAGUUCACACUG
Molecule: ribosomal RNA, 459 nt
Filed under: Streptococcus sp. oral taxon C65
Lineage: Bacteria; Bacillati; Bacillota; Bacilli; Lactobacillales; Streptococcaceae
Description: bacterial SSU rRNA
Rfam family: Bacterial small subunit ribosomal RNA
Source: RNAcentral